Molecule: unclassified non-coding RNA, 436 nt
Filed under: Hevea brasiliensis (rubber tree)
Lineage: Eukaryota; Viridiplantae; Streptophyta; Magnoliopsida; Malpighiales; Euphorbiaceae
Source: RNAcentral
GUUACUACUCCCUCCCACCAGCUGAAAGAAUAAACAAACAAAAUGAUCACAGUUAUUAAAGGCACAAAGAGGUCUUGAAGCCUACAUGAGAGGUGCAAUGGUGAGCCUAAGUGAGGUGUGGUGCAAAAGAAAGAAAAAAGACUACUCAUAUUAAUAACAUAAAACAACCAGAAUUCCAGCACUAAUCUUUUUGAAAUCCAAAUUAACAAAAAAUAAAAAAUGUUAAGUCGUGUUAAACCAUAACCCUAAGUUCCUCCUAGAAAGCAAUAAUCCAUAAGACUAGUAAUGUAGUUACUGUAGAACCAAAAGAAACCAAAAGAAUAAGAGAAAUUCUUAUAAGGGGAUGAGAAACAUACUUUCAACUUUAUUAAUUCUCAAAUUAAUUGCCAAUCAUAGAAAAGGUCUCCCAAAUUACCUAGAGGACAUAGGUAUUUAU